This 85-nucleotide transfer RNA is filed under the name Bacillus daqingensis. Its description in RNAcentral is "tRNA-Leu". It matches the Rfam family "tRNA". Rfam says of the family: Transfer RNA (tRNA) molecules are approximately 80 nucleotides in length. Their secondary structure includes four short double-helical elements and three loops (D, anti-codon, and T loops). Lineage: Bacteria; Bacillati; Bacillota; Bacilli; Caryophanales; Bacillaceae. The record is from RNAcentral. RNAcentral also lists the same sequence under 1 other name.
GCGGGUGUGGCGGAACUGGCAGACGCGCUAGAUUUAGGAUCUAGUGUCUUCGGGCGUGGGGGUUCGACUCCCUCCACCCGCACCA